AGUGAACGCUGGCGGUAGGCCUAACACAUGCAAGUCGAACGGCAGCACAGUAAAAGCUUGCUCUUACGGGUGGCGAGUGGCGGACGGGUGAGGAAUACAUCGGAAUCUACUUUUUCGUGGGGGAUAACGUAGGGAAACUUACGCUAAUACCGCAUACGACCUACGGGUGAAAGCAGGGGAUCUUCGGACCUUGCGCGAUUGAAUGAGCCGAUGUCGGAUUAGCUAGUUGGCGGGGUAAAGGCCCACCAAGGCGACGAUCCGUAGCUGGUCUGAGAGGAUGAUCAGCCACACUGGAACUGAGACACGGUCCAGACUCCUACGGGAGGCAGCAGUGGGGAAUAUUGGACAAUGGGCGCAAGCCUGAUCCAGCCAUACCGCGUGGGUGAAGAAGGCCUUCGGGUUGUAAAGCCCUUUUGUUGGGAAAGAAAAGCAGCAGGUUAAUACCCCGCUGUUCUGACGGUACCCAACGAAUAAGCACCGGCUAACUUCGUG
This 492-nucleotide ribosomal RNA is filed under the name uncultured bacterium. Its description in RNAcentral is "partial 16S ribosomal RNA". It matches the Rfam family "Bacterial small subunit ribosomal RNA", at positions 29 to 507 of the family's 1533-position model. The record is from RNAcentral.